CGAGCGGAUGAGGGAGCUUGCUCCUGGAUUCAGCGGCGGACGGGUGAGUAAUGCUUAGGAAUCUGCCUAUUAGUGGGGGACAACAUUUCGAAAGGGAUGCUAAUACCGCAUACGCCCUACGGGGGAAAGCAGGGGAUCUUCGGACCUUGCGCUAAUAGAUGAGCCUAAGUCAGAUUAGCUAGUUGGUGGGGUAAAGGCCUACCAAGGCGACGAUCUGUAGCGGGUCUGAGAGGAUGAUCCGCCACACUGGGACUGAGACACGGCCCAGACUCCUACGGGAGGCAGCAGUGGGGAAUAUUGGACAAUGGGGGGAACCCUGAUCCAGCCAUGCCGCGUGUGUGAAGAAGGCCUUUUGGUUGUAAAGCACUUUAAGCGAGGAGGAGGCUCUUCUAGUUAAUACCUAGGAUGAGUGGACGUUACUCGCAGAAUAAGCACCGGCUAACUCUGUGCCAGCAGCCGCGGUAAUACAGAGGGUGCGAGCGUUAAUCGGAUUUACUGGGCGUAAAGCGUACGUAGGCGGCUUUUUAAGUCGGAUGUGAAAUCCCUGAGCUUAACUUAGGAAUUGCAUUCGAUACUGGGAAGCUAGAGUAUGGGAGAGGAUGGUAGAAUUCCAGGUGUAGCGGUGAAAUGCGUAGAGAUCUGGAGGAAUACCGAUGGCGAAGGCAGCCAUCUGGCCUAAUACUGACGCUGAGGUACGAAAGCAUGGGGAGCAAACAGGAUUAGAUACCCUGGUAGUCCAUGCCGUAAACGAUGUCUACUAGCCGUUGGGGCCUUUGAGGCUUUAGUGGCGCAGCUAACGCGAUAAGUAGACCGCCUGGGGAGUACGGUCGCAAGACUAAAACUCAAAUGAAUUGACGGGGGCCCGCACAAGCGGUGGAGCAUGUGGUUUAAUUCGAUGCAACGCGAAGAACCUUACCUGGUCUUGACAUAGUAAGAACUUUCCAGAGAUGGAUUGGUGCCUUCGGGAACUUACAUACAGGUGCUGCAUGGCUGUCGUCAGCUCGUGUCGUGAGAUGUUGGGUUAAGUCCCGCAACGAGCGCAACCCUUUUCCUUAUUUGCCAGCGGUUCGGCCGGGAACUUUAAGGAUACUGCCAGUGACAAACUGGAGGAAGGCGGGGACGACGUCAAGUCAUCAUGGCCCUUACGACCAGGGCUACACACGUGCUACAAUGGUCGGUACAAAGGGUUGCUACCUCGCGAGAGGAUGCUAAUCUCAAAAAGCCGAUCGUAGUCCGGAUUGGAGUCUGCAACUCGACUCCAUGAAGUCGGAAUCGCUAGUAAUCGCGGAUCAGAAUGCCGCGGUGAAUACGUUCCCGGGCCUUGUACACACCGCCCGUCACACCAUGGGAGUUUGUUGCACCAGAAGUAGGUAGUCUAACCGUAAGGAGGACGCUUACCACGGUGUGGCCGACGACUGGGGUGAAGUCGUAA
RNAcentral lists this ribosomal RNA (1432 nucleotides) under Acinetobacter sp. RNAcentral describes it as "bacterial SSU rRNA". It matches the Rfam family "Bacterial small subunit ribosomal RNA". The record is from RNAcentral. Lineage: Bacteria; Pseudomonadati; Pseudomonadota; Gammaproteobacteria; Moraxellales; Moraxellaceae.